UUCCGGUCACAGCAUCUGGUCCUCGUUAGUUUUCGUGUGUUUAAAACUUCCAUCCAUCCAUUUUAUUUAAUCCUUUAAAUAUUUACAUUUAUUUCACCUGCAAUAAACGAUUGCGCUUCAUUAACUCGCUCUUCAGCUUCUGUUAAAUGUCCCUUUUUGGCCGAUUUGUGUUUAUUGAGUGUGACUCAUCAUUAUUAAGGAAUCGGAAGUUGCGAAGCAAGGUUGGUUGCAUGAACAAAGGCACUCGCUCUCUGGUAACCGAGCGACGCAGGACGUGAUCACUGAUCAGUGGGAGUGGCACGCUAACAGCCAAUCAGAUAGCUGAAGCCAUAACAUCAGAGGAAGCUUGUAGUUACCUAUAAGCAGGUAGGUGGCUAGCGGUGCCACCACAAAGCCCGUGAGCGCCUCCUGCUGCAGGUUGCCGACGUAGCAAAGGCCAGUCAGGUCGUCAGCGUCCACCAGUCUCAUGAUGAGAAUGACGAUGGUUUUAACAGCCGGGAUAGCCCAAGCUGCGAUGUGGAAGUAGGAGCUGUGCAUCUCAAUAGCCUCGUGGCCCCACUUCAGUCCCGCGGCCAAGAACCACGUCAGGGUCAGGAUCACCCACCUGGAGGGCGGAUGGAAAAAGUGCUGCGUUGCCCUUCUGUCAGACUUUCAACCGGAAGUACAAAUGCCGCUUCCAUAGCGUUUCUGCUCGUUUGGAUUCUUCAUUCAUCACUCCAAGCGACGUUUGUAAGUUUAACAAUAUAACUAAAACAAUUCUUACUUACUAAACCGUCCCAUGUGUGAUGUCUGUAGGAGUGUUUUCAUGCAUAUUUGUACGCGCUAUCCUAAUGUAAUGAAGCUAGCGUUGUUAGCAUUAGCUAAUAUGCUAAAAGGUUUAUAGUAUUACCUUACAAUGGCAUUCUUUUUGUGUUGAUUCAGUUUUGGAAAUUCACUAAAAUGUCACUGUGUAGUUAUUGAGUCUGUUUGGCUGAUUGGAGAGCUAGCUUCCAUGACCAUGACUUCUGUUUUGUUUGAUCAGCCGUUUAACUGCCUUGUUACAAACACCGUUUGGAAA
Long non-coding RNA from Entelurus aequoreus (snake pipefish), 1057 nucleotides. RefSeq lists it as uncharacterized. The record is from RefSeq and is a predicted model, not a curated record. Lineage: Eukaryota; Metazoa; Chordata; Actinopteri; Syngnathiformes; Syngnathidae. The transcript has 5 exons.